AAGAACAGCCAUGCACCACCAUGUUUGGACUUGGUAAGUUUCCCUAGGCAGCACAUCUGUUAAAAGAUAACAUAGGUGUCCUAAGAUAAGCUCAACAAGAAUAGAAAUCCCAUGUGGAACAAAAGGGUAAAAAAUUGUUUAAUUUUGAUCUUCAAUACAGAAAGCAUGGCUUAUCAAUCCUUUUGAUUUUCAGAAUUUUUCAGAAAAGUUACCAUAGGGAUAAUUGGUUUGUGACAUUGCUUUUUGAUCCUUUGAUGUCACCUCUUUCUAUCAUUGUGAAGCAAAAUUCACCAAAUGUUAGAUUAUUCACCCACCAAUAGAGAACGUGAGUUGGGUUUAGACUGUCAUGAGACAAGUUAAUUUUACUCUACUGAUGCGUGGCGCCACAUUAAUAGUAUGAGAGGAACCAUUGAUUUGCAUCACUAGUCAUUGCACAAGCCAGUGGCUACCAUGCAAGGGAUUAUAACAGAAUGCCUAUAAGUCAGAAUCUGUGCUAGAAGUGGCUACCAUGCAGGGGAUUAUAACAAAACACCUUUAAGUCAGAAUCUGUGCUAGAAGUGGCACUGUCGACCUCCCUGGUUGUUACCCAAUGUUGUAGGGGUGGCCCGGAGAACACAUGAAGUGAACUGGUUUCGGAUUGCAAUUCUGAACGAGCAGGGAGAUAAAUCCUUUGCAAACGACUUAAAUAAAGGAUGGGGUACUGUAAGCGGCAGAGUGGCCUUGAUACUAGGAUCCGCUAAAGUUCAUCCCUCACUCCCAUCGAUUU
Molecule: non-coding RNA, 766 nt
Filed under: Selaginella moellendorffii
Lineage: Eukaryota; Viridiplantae; Streptophyta; Lycopodiopsida; Selaginellales; Selaginellaceae
Description: Eukaryotic large subunit ribosomal RNA
Rfam family: Eukaryotic large subunit ribosomal RNA
Source: Rfam by way of RNAcentral